Molecule: non-coding RNA, 23 nt
Filed under: Cricetulus griseus (Chinese hamster)
Lineage: Eukaryota; Metazoa; Chordata; Mammalia; Rodentia; Cricetidae
Source: RNAcentral
CCAAAGCCAUAGAGGAACCCUGU